UGUCUAAACUAAUAUCUAAACCAUUCUAUUAACAGAUCAGCAAGAGGAUCCCUUCAAAUGGAUUUACUACAACUUCAGUUUUUAUUAUAUUUCAUCUGAGAAGAAGAGCUGGAGUGACAGCAGCAGAGACUGUCAACAGAAAGGAGCAAAUCUGGUGAUCAUAAACAGUUCAAAGGAACAAGAUUUUGUACAAAAGAUUGCUGUUUCUGAUCAUUUUUGGAUUGGUUUGGGAAAGAUGGAGGGAGAAUGGAAAUGGAUUGGUGGCACCAUAAUGGCAAAUGGGUACUGGAGUUCUCAGUAUCUGCAUUCAUAUGGUUCAUACUGUGCUCUGAUUACUUCAUCAGGUUGGAUAGAUGAUAAAUG
This is a long non-coding RNA of Sinocyclocheilus anshuiensis, 363 nucleotides long. RefSeq lists it as uncharacterized. The record is from RefSeq and is a predicted model, not a curated record. NCBI's taxonomy places the organism in Eukaryota, Metazoa, Chordata, Actinopteri, Cypriniformes, Cyprinidae. The transcript has 3 exons.